This 73-nucleotide transfer RNA is filed under the name Camelus bactrianus (Bactrian camel). It matches the Rfam family "tRNA". Rfam says of the family: Transfer RNA (tRNA) molecules are approximately 80 nucleotides in length. The record is from Rfam by way of RNAcentral. RNAcentral also lists the same sequence under 2 other names. Lineage: Eukaryota; Metazoa; Chordata; Mammalia; Artiodactyla; Camelidae.
UCAGGUAUAGCUCAAGUGGUAGAGCGCGUGCCUAGCAUGCAUAAGGUCUUGGGUUCAAUACCCAGGACCUCUA